This 466-nucleotide ribosomal RNA is filed under the name uncultured bacterium. Its description in RNAcentral is "bacterial SSU rRNA". It matches the Rfam family "Bacterial small subunit ribosomal RNA", at positions 28 to 507 of the family's 1533-position model. The record is from RNAcentral.
GACGAACGCUGGCGGCGUGCUUAACACAUGCAAGUCGAACGGUGACGAGGAGCUUGCUCCUCUGAUCAGUGGCGAGCGGGUGAGUAACACGUGAGCAACCUGCCCCAGACUCUGGGAUAACAGUUGGAAACAGCUGCUAAUACCGGAUACGAGACGGAGAGGCAUCUCUACCGUCUGGAAAGUUUUUCGGUCUGGGAUGGACUCGCGGCCUAUCAGCUAGUUGGUGAGGUAAUGGCUCACCAAGGCGACGACGGGUAGCCGGCCUGAGAGGGCGACCGGCCACACUGGGACUGAGACACGGCCCAGACUCCUACGGGAGGCAGCAGUGGGGAAUAUUGCACAAUGGGCGAAAGCCUGAUGCAGCGACGCCGCGUGAGGGAUGACGGCCUUCGGGUUGUAAACCUCUUUCAGCAGGGAAGAAGCGAAAGUGACGGUACCUGCAGAAGAAGCACCGGCUAACUACGUG